RNAcentral lists this ribosomal RNA (1321 nucleotides) under Brachytarsina amboinensis. RNAcentral describes it as "16S ribosomal RNA". Lineage: Eukaryota; Metazoa; Arthropoda; Insecta; Diptera; Streblidae. The record is from RNAcentral.
UAGAUUUUAUUUAUUAUUUUAUAUUUUUUAUUAAUUUUUAAUAUUAAAAAUAUUUAUAAUAAUAGUUUUAUUAGUAUAAAAUAGAAAUUAUAAUUAAAAUUAUAGUGAAUUAGUAUUGUAUAAGAAAGUUGAAAUAGUUUGAAAAAUUAUUAUUUUUAAAGAAAAUUUAAUUUAUUGUAUCUUGUGUAUCAGAGUUUAUUUAAUAAUUAUUAUUAAAAAUAAUUUUCUCGAUUUUAAAAGAGUUAAUAUAUUAUUUAAGUUAAUGUAUUAUAUUUAUUUAUAAUAAUAUAUUAGAAAUGAAAUGUUAUUCGUUUUUAAAGGUAUCUAGUUUUUUAAGAAAUAAAUUUAAUUUACAAAGUUUAAAUUAUUUAUUUUUUAUAUAAUAAAUAAUUUUUUAUUUUGAAUAUUUUAUGGGAUAAGCUAUAAAAUAUAUUUUUAUAAAAAUUUUAAUUAAUUAUGAAAUAUAGGCUUAGAAAUAGUCAUUAUUAAUAAAAUUGUUAUAAUUUAUUAAUUGUAUUAUAAUUAAUUUAUUUCUUAAAUUUUAAUUUUUUAUUAAAAUAAAAUUUUUAAUUUUAUAAAGUUUGAAAUAAUGAUAAAAUUAGUAUAAUUAUAUAUAUAUAUAUAUAUAUAUUGUUAAGUUUAUAUAAAGAAUUCGGCAAAUAUAAUGUUCGCCUGUUUAACAAAAACAUGUCUUUUUGAGAUUAAUUUAAAGUCUAACCUGCCCACUGAUUUUUAAAUGGCCGCAGUAUAUUGACUGUGCAAAGGUAGCAUAAUCAUUAGUCUUUUAAUUGAAGGCUGGAAUGAAUGGUUGGACGAAACAUUAACUGUUUUAUGUAAAUUUAAAAUAGAAUUUUAUUUUUUAGUAAAAAAGCUAAAAUAAAUUUAAAAGACGAGAAGACCCUAUAAAUCUUUAUAUAAAUUAUAUAUAAUAAUUAUAGAAAUUUAAUUUUAUAAAUAUAUAAUAAAAUAUUUUAUUGGGGUGAUAGUAAAAUUUGAUUAACUUUUAUUAAUUUUUAUUCAUUAAUUAAUGAAUUUUUGAUCCUAUAUUAUAGAUUAAAAGAAUAAGUUACUUUAGGGAUAACAGCGUAAUUUUUUUGGAGAGUUCAUAUCGAUAAAGAAGAUUGCGACCUCGAUGUUGGAUUAAGAUUAAAUUUAGGUGCAGAAGUUUAAAUUUUAAGUCUGUUCGACUUUUAAAAUCUUACAUGAUCUGAGUUCAAACCGGUGUAAGCCAGGUUGGUUUCUAUCUUUAAAUAAUUUUAAUAUUAUAGUACGAAAGGAUUUAAUAUUAAAUAUAUUAAUAUUUAUAAUAAUGAAUUAAAUU